CAAAUAUAUAAAUAAAACUAAAAAAAACAGCAGAAACAGUACAACAAAAUGAAAGAUAAUAAAAGAUUUAUUAAAUAGUUCACACUAGAAAAAAAAUAAAUGCUAAAUGCAAAUAUUAAAACAAAAGAAUUAACAGCAGAAACAGUACAACAAAAUGAAAGAUAAUAGAAAAGAUUAAAGUUCACAUUAGAAAAAAAUAUAAAAUAUAUAACAAUUAUAAAAUAUAUAUUAAGGUAAACAAAUUACUAUAUACAAAAAUAAAAAGAAAAAUGUAAGAAACAGUAUAACAAGUUAAAAAAAUUAUUUAAAAAAAUAGAAAAAGGAUAUAAAUGUAAAUAAAAUACUAAAGACAAAUUAAAAUAAAACAAAAAUCAAUGGCGGAAGCAGUAUAACAAAAUUAACAAAGAUAAUAAAAGACUUAUUGAAUAGUUCACAGUUUUUAAAAAUUCUAAAAAUAUAUACAAACAAAAUACUAAAUACAAAUAUUUUAAAAAGUAUUUAACAAAAAUCAAACAAACACUGUAAUAAAAUGAACAAAGAUAAUAAAAGAUUAAGAUAAAGAAAACAAAACAAAAAUUCAGUGGCAAUUAUUUAAGGGGGAGCAAGAGACCGCUGCUCUGCCAGCCAAAGUUCCACAGUCUUGCCCUCAUAACUGCUGCAAAAGGAUUUGCCACCGUACCUUGUCCGAGGCACGUGGUCAACGUUGUCUGCAGCUGCAACCCUCUUCUGCUCAGAAAGCCAUUGAGAUACUGUCUUUCCAGCUGCAGUGGCACAGAAACCUUUUCCCCUAAAGAAACUGUGUCCAAACUCCAGUCUCUUUGGCUGUCCACACAAUCUGCACGGAUAUCCCUUUGCCGUGCAAUGGCUUUGUGAUGCAUUAGGGCUUUUUUGUCCUCUUCGGCCCUCUUCUUUCGUCUCCAGGCUGUGGCCCUUGGUACCCGUUUAAGGGCUGCAGCAGAUACAGCUGAUGGAGGAGGGAUUGUGUAUUCAUGUAGGAACUGUUUAAGGCAAAAAUACAUAUAGUAUUACAUUAGACAUUUGUUGCUUCUUACAUGAAUUUAUUCUUUUACAUUCUUUCAU
Molecule: long non-coding RNA, 1080 nt
Organism: Cyprinus carpio (common carp)
Lineage: Eukaryota; Metazoa; Chordata; Actinopteri; Cypriniformes; Cyprinidae
Source: Ensembl